AAUGGUUUUUUGUUUAAAUGUUUUUUCGCCUAAGGAUGGGUCUGCGGCCGAUUAGGUAGUUGGUUAGGUAAUGGCUUACCAAGCCGUUGAUCGGUACGGGUUGUGAGAGCAAGAGCCCGGAGAUGGAACCUGAGACAAGGUUCCAGGCCCUACGGGGUGCAGCAGGCGCGAAACCUCCGCAAUGUGAGAAAUCGCGACGGGGGGAUCCCAAGUGCCAUUCUUAACGGGAUGGCUUUUCAUUAGUGUAAAAAGCUUUUGGAAUAAGAGCUGGGCAAGACCGGUGCCAGCCGCCGCGGUAACACCGGCAGCUCUAGUGGUAGCAACUUUUAUUGGGCCUAAAGCGUCCGUAGCCGGUUUAAUAAGUCUCUGGUGAAAUCCUGUAGCUUAACUGUGGGAAUUGCUGGAGAUACUAUUAGACUUGAGACCGGGAGAGGUUAGAGGUACUCCCAGGGUAGAGGUGAAAUUCUGUAAUCCUGGGAGGACCGCCUGUUGCGAAGGCGUCUAACUGGAACGGUUCUGACGGUGAGGGACGAAAGUUAGGGGCGCGAACCGGAUUAGAUACCCGGGUAGUCCUAACUGUAAACGAUGCGGACUUGGUGUUGGGGUGGCUUUGAGCUGCUCCAGUGCCGAAGGGAAGCUGUUAAGUCCGCCGCCUGGGAAGUACGGUCGCAAGACUGAAACUUAA
Molecule: ribosomal RNA, 685 nt
Filed under: uncultured archaeon
Lineage: Archaea
Description: bacterial SSU rRNA
Rfam family: Archaeal small subunit ribosomal RNA
Source: RNAcentral